RNAcentral lists this ribosomal RNA (409 nucleotides) under Acidobacteriota bacterium. RNAcentral's name for it is "Acidobacteria bacterium partial 16S ribosomal RNA". It matches the Rfam family "Bacterial small subunit ribosomal RNA", at positions 355 to 776 of the family's 1533-position model. Lineage: Bacteria; Pseudomonadati; Acidobacteriota. The record is from RNAcentral.
UGGGGAAUAUUGCACAAUGGGCGAAAGCCUGAUGCAGCGACGCCGCGUGAGGGAUGACGGCCUUCGGGUUGUAAACCUCUUUCAGCAGGGACGAAGCGCAAGUGACGGUACCUGCAGAAGAAGCACCGGCUAACUACGUGCCAGCAGCCGCGGUAAUACGUAGGGUGCAAGCGUUGUCCGGAAUUACUGGGCGUAAAGAGUUCGUAGGCGGUUUGCCGCGUCGUUUGUGAAAACCAGCAGCUCAACUGCUGGCUUGCAGGCGAUACGGGCAGACGUGAGUACUGCAGGGGAGACUGGAAUUCCUGGUGUAGCGGUGAAAUGCGCAGAUAUCGGGAGGAACACCGGUGGCGAAGGCGGGUCUCUGGGCAGUAACUGACGCUGAGGAACGAAAGCGUGGGUAGCGAACAGG